RNAcentral lists this ribosomal RNA (112 nucleotides) under Panthera tigris altaica (Amur tiger). The record is from RNAcentral. Lineage: Eukaryota; Metazoa; Chordata; Mammalia; Carnivora; Felidae.
GUCUACAGCCAUACCACCCUGGAACGGGCCUGAUUUCGUCUGAUCUCAGAAACUAAGCAGGGUCAGGCCUGGUUAGUACUUGGAUGGGAGAAUACAUAGGAAGAAGCAAAAU